RNAcentral lists this ribosomal RNA (481 nucleotides) under uncultured bacterium. Its description in RNAcentral is "partial 16S ribosomal RNA". It matches the Rfam family "Bacterial small subunit ribosomal RNA", at positions 30 to 506 of the family's 1533-position model. The record is from RNAcentral.
AUUGAACGCUGGCGGCAUGCUUUACACAUGCAGGUCGAACGGUAACAGGCCGCAAGGUGCUGACGAGUGGCGAACGGGUGAGUAAUGCAUCGGAACGUGCCCAGUCGUGGGGGAUAACUACUCGAAAGAGUAGCUAAUACCGCAUACGAUCUAUGGACGAAAGCGGGGGACCGUAAGGCCUCGCGCGAUUGGAGCGGCCGAUGUCAGAUUAGGUAGUUGGUGGGGUAAAGGCUCACCAAGCCAACGAUCUGUAGCUGGUCUGAGAGGACGACCAGCCACACUGGGACUGGGACACGGCCCAGACUCCUACGGGAGGCAGCAGUGGGGAAUUUUGGACAAUGGGCGAAAGCCUGAUCCAGCAAUGCCGCGUGCAGGAAGAAGGCCUUCGGGUUGUAAACUGCUUUUGUACGGAACGAAACGGCUCUGGUUAAUACCCGGGGCUAAUGACGGUACCGUAAGAAUAAGCACCGGCUAACUACGG